RNAcentral lists this ribosomal RNA (1553 nucleotides) under Salmonella enterica subsp. enterica serovar Indiana. RNAcentral's name for it is "bacterial SSU rRNA". It matches the Rfam family "Bacterial small subunit ribosomal RNA". The record is from RNAcentral. Lineage: Bacteria; Pseudomonadati; Pseudomonadota; Gammaproteobacteria; Enterobacterales; Enterobacteriaceae.
AAAUUGAAGAGUUUGAUCAUGGCUCAGAUUGAACGCUGGCGGCAGGCCUAACACAUGCAAGUCGAACGGUAACAGGAAGCAGCUUGCUGCUUUGCUGACGAGUGGCGGACGGGUGAGUAAUGUCUGGGAAACUGCCUGAUGGAGGGGGAUAACUACUGGAAACGGUGGCUAAUACCGCAUAACGUCGCAAGACCAAAGAGGGGGACCUUCGGGCCUCUUGCCAUCAGAUGUGCCCAGAUGGGAUUAGCUUGUUGGUGAGGUAACGGCUCACCAAGGCGACGAUCCCUAGCUGGUCUGAGAGGAUGACCAGCCACACUGGAACUGAGACACGGUCCAGACUCCUACGGGAGGCAGCAGUGGGGAAUAUUGCACAAUGGGCGCAAGCCUGAUGCAGCCAUGCCGCGUGUAUGAAGAAGGCCUUCGGGUUGUAAAGUACUUUCAGCGGGGAGGAAGGUGUUGUGGUUAAUAACCGCAGCAAUUGACGUUACCCGCAGAAGAAGCACCGGCUAACUCCGUGCCAGCAGCCGCGGUAAUACGGAGGGUGCAAGCGUUAAUCGGAAUUACUGGGCGUAAAGCGCACGCAGGCGGUCUGUCAAGUCGGAUGUGAAAUCCCCGGGCUCAACCUGGGAACUGCAUUCGAAACUGGCAGGCUUGAGUCUUGUAGAGGGGGGUAGAAUUCCAGGUGUAGCGGUGAAAUGCGUAGAGAUCUGGAGGAAUACCGGUGGCGAAGGCGGCCCCCUGGACAAAGACUGACGCUCAGGUGCGAAAGCGUGGGGAGCAAACAGGAUUAGAUACCCUGGUAGUCCACGCCGUAAACGAUGUCUACUUGGAGGUUGUGCCCUUGAGGCGUGGCUUCCGGAGCUAACGCGUUAAGUAGACCGCCUGGGGAGUACGGCCGCAAGGUUAAAACUCAAAUGAAUUGACGGGGGCCCGCACAAGCGGUGGAGCAUGUGGUUUAAUUCGAUGCAACGCGAAGAACCUUACCUGGUCUUGACAUCCACAGAAGAAUCCAGAGAUGGAUUUGUGCCUUCGGGAACUGUGAGACAGGUGCUGCAUGGCUGUCGUCAGCUCGUGUUGUGAAAUGUUGGGUUAAGUCCCGCAACGAGCGCAACCCUUAUCCUUUGUUGCCAGCGGUUAGGCCGGGAACUCAAAGGAGACUGCCAGUGAUAAACUGGAGGAAGGUGGGGAUGACGUCAAGUCAUCAUGGCCCUUACGACCAGGGCUACACACGUGCUACAAUGGCGCAUACAAAGAGAAGCGACCUCGCGAGAGCAAGCGGACCUCAUAAAGUGCGUCGUAGUCCGGAUUGGGAGUCUGCAACUCGACUCCAUGAAGUCGGAAUCGCUAGUAAUCGUGGAUCAGAAUGCCACGGUGAAUACGUUCCCGGGCCUUGUACACACCGCCCGUCACACCAUGGGAGUGGGUUGCAAAAGAAGUAGGUAGCUUAACCUUCGGGAGGGCGCUUACCACUUUGUGAUUCAUGACUGGGGUGAAGUCGUAACAAGGUAACCGUAGGGGAACCUGCGGUUGGAUCACCUCCUUACCUUAAAGAA